This 500-nucleotide ribosomal RNA is filed under the name Acanthocephala alata. Its description in RNAcentral is "SSU rRNA". It matches the Rfam family "Eukaryotic small subunit ribosomal RNA", at positions 910 to 1416 of the family's 1831-position model. The record is from RNAcentral. Lineage: Eukaryota; Metazoa; Arthropoda; Insecta; Hemiptera; Coreidae.
GGUGAAAUUCUUGGAUCGUCGCAAGACGCACUAGAGCGAAAGCAUUUGCCAAGUAUGUCUUAAUUGAUCAAGAACGAAAGUUAGAGGUUCGAAGGCGAUCAGAUACCGCCCUAGUUCUAACCAUAAACGAUGCCAGCCAGCGAUCCGCCGACGUUCCUCCGAUGACUCGGCGGGGAGCUUUCCCCGGGAAACCAAAAGCUUUUGGGUUCCGGGGGAAGUAUGGUUGCAAAGCUGAAACUUAAAGGAAUUGACGGAAGGGCACCACCAGGAGUGGAGCCUGCGGCUUAAUUUGACUCAACACGGGAAACCUCACCAGGCCCGGACAUUGGAAGGAUUGACAGAUCGAUAGCUCUUUCUCGAUUCAGUGGGUAGUGGUGCAUGGCCGUUCUUAGUUGGUGGACUGAUUUGUCUGGUUUAUUCCGAUAACGAACGAGACUCUAACCUAUUAACUAGGCGUUGCCGGUAUAAACAGCUACCGGCGAGAUUUAUUCUUCUUAAGG